Molecule: long non-coding RNA, 469 nt
Filed under: Musa acuminata (dwarf banana)
Lineage: Eukaryota; Viridiplantae; Streptophyta; Magnoliopsida; Zingiberales; Musaceae
Description: long non-coding RNA (MACU_LNC004922)
Source: RNAcentral
UCAGCCACUUAUUAUAAAAAAGUCAAAACCCAGUGGGUGUUUGAACAACAUUCUAUUUUCAGCUCUUCCCCUCAACCUGUCCUUUCUGCUUUUGUUAACAAGAGAUUUUUCAUUUGUUUCUAGUCAUCAUUUCUACAUUCUUCAAUGCAGUUCCAUCUAAUCACUGUCUGCCUACUCCCUCCAUUUAACUGGAAUGGUAUUUGGAAAAGAAACAUGUCUUAAUAACUGCGAAUUAACUGCCCUGCAGUUCCAUUCAAUCGAUGUGCUCGUCCGUUCCAUCGAACUUGAAGAGUAGUUGGAAACAUGAUAUCAACAAGUACGGGAAGGAACUAAUCAGCAUGUGGAUCCAUUCCAUCUUCCUAGGCCUGAUUCAUCCAAUGAAAUAACAGUAGCCGAGAACAUGCAACGAAUUAGCAAUCAGAUCCAAAGCAUCCCAAUGUGGUGAAGCGAAACCAAAAGACAACCUGAG